This 227-nucleotide ribosomal RNA is filed under the name uncultured bacterium. Its description in RNAcentral is "partial 16S ribosomal RNA". It matches the Rfam family "Bacterial small subunit ribosomal RNA", at positions 107 to 334 of the family's 1533-position model. The record is from RNAcentral.
UGAGUAACACGUAUCCAACCUGCCGUCUACUCUUGGACAGCCCUCUGAAAGGAAGAUUAAUACAAGAUGGCAUCAUGAGUUCACAUGUUCACAUGAUUAAAGGUAUUCCGGUAGACGAUGGGGAUGCGUUCCAUUAGAUAGUAGGCGGGGUAACGGCCCACCUAGUCUUCGAUGGAUAGGGGUUCUGAGAGGAAGGUCCCCCACAUUGGAACUGAGACACGGUCCAA